RNAcentral lists this ribosomal RNA (253 nucleotides) under uncultured bacterium. RNAcentral describes it as "partial 16S ribosomal RNA". It matches the Rfam family "Bacterial small subunit ribosomal RNA", at positions 524 to 776 of the family's 1533-position model. The record is from RNAcentral.
UACAGAGGUGGCAAGCGUUGUUCGGAAUUACUGGGCGUAAAGCGCACGUAGGCGGACUAUUAAGUCAGGGGUGAAAUCCCGGGGCUCAACCCCGGAACUGCCUUUGAUACUGGUAGUCUCGAGUCCGGAAGAGGUGAGUGGAAUUCCGAGUGUAGAGGUGAAAUUCGUAGAUAUUCGGAGGAACACCGAUGGCGAAGGCAGCCCCCUGGGCCAAUACUGACGCUCAGGCACGAAAGCGUGGGGAGCGAACAGG